Hemicordylus capensis (graceful crag lizard) is the source of this 767-nucleotide long non-coding RNA. RefSeq lists it as uncharacterized. Lineage: Eukaryota; Metazoa; Chordata; Lepidosauria; Squamata; Cordylidae. The transcript has 3 exons. The record is from RefSeq and is a predicted model, not a curated record.
GGUAACUUUGCUACCAUAUGUAAAAUUUGAACCAUCAAUGGCACCAUUUUCUGGAGCAGCUGGGAUACCACAAGAAACAGCUUGAAGAAAACAAAUUAAAAAAGUCACCCUGAUGAAUGAAUGGGUAGUACAAGGACAAAUCUUCUCUUAUACUGUCAUGGCAACAGAAAAAUUGAGGUCCAGUGAGGUACAGGAAGCCUUGUAUGACAGAAGCUUGAAGAAAACAAUACCUUCACAGUAUGGUAUCAGGUGGCUCCAUUCCCCAGACUCCAAACAUGUGACCCUAUUCGCUCCUUUCAGCUGGUAGCCCUUUUCACAUGAGAAACUGACUUCGCUACCAACACUGAAGCUGUCGCUGUGUAAAUGGCCAUUUUCAGGAUCUCCUGGAUGUUUGCAUUUUACUGGUUCUUUGGAAUCAGACACAAGGUAAAACAGAGCUUACUGACAUCAGGUGUAGCUCAUGCGCUUAAAAAUGAAAACAAAUCAUGUAACAUUUAAGCAAGCAACUUUGGAGGGGGAAAGGACCAGUCACAAGAGCAUGGGAUUGUGCAUUUAAGACACUUUAAAAACAUUUUCAACCCCAUUUACUUUGUAGGGAUUUCACUGAUACUGCAUUUGGGCCGCUGCACCAAUGCACUUUUGUUUAUCAGGUCUGAUAACAUUUUAUAGACAUUUGCUUCCUCUAAUAUUUCAUAUACAUUUUCUUCCUUCUUCUUAUGCAGAGUGCAGUGUUGUCUGCUGUGCAAUGUACUUGAAUAGAGCCUGGC